RNAcentral lists this unclassified non-coding RNA (9622 nucleotides) under Human immunodeficiency virus 2. The stretch from base 1836 to 1880 matches the Rfam family "ribosomal frameshift site". Lineage: Riboviria; Pararnavirae; Artverviricota; Revtraviricetes; Ortervirales; Retroviridae. The record is from RNAcentral.
UCGCUCUGCGGAGAGGCUGGCAGAUCGAGCCCUGGGAGGUUCUCUCCAGCACUAGCAGGUAGAGCCUGGGUGUUCCCUGCUAGACUCUCACCAGUACUUGGCCGGUACUGGGCAGACGGCUCCACGCUUGCUUGCUUAAAGACCUCUUAAUAAAGCUGCCAGUUAGAAGCAAGUUAAGUGUGUGUUCCCAUCUCUCCUAGUCGCCGCCUGGUCAUUCGGUGUUCACCUAAGUGACAAGACCCUGGUCUGUUAGGACCCUUCUUGCUUUGGGGAACCGAAGCGGGAAAAUACCUAGCAGAUUGGCGCCCGAACAGGACUUGAAGGAGACUGGAACACGGCUGAGUGAAGGCAGUAAGGGCGGCAGGAACAAACCACGACGGAGUGCUCCUAGAAAGGCGCGGGCCGAGGUACCAAAGGCGGCGUGUGGAGCGGGAGUAAAGAGGCCUCCGGGUGAAGGUAAGUACCUACACCAAAAACUGUAGCCAGAAAAAGGCUUGUUAUCCUACCUUUAGACAGGUAGAAGAUUGUGGGAGAUGGGCGCGAGAAGCUCCGUCUUGAGAGGGAAAAAAGUAGAUGAAUUAGAAAAAAUUAGGUUACGGCCCGGCGGGAAGAAAAAAUAUAGACUAAAGCAUAUUGUGUGGGCAGCGAAUGAAUUGGGCAAAUUCGGAUUGGCAGAAAGCCUGUUGGAGUCAAAAGAAGGUUGCCAAAAAAUUAUUACAGUUUUAGAUCCAUUAGUGCCAACAGGAUCAGAAAAUUUAAAAAGCCUUUUUAAUACUGUCUGCGUCAUUUGGUGCUUGCACGCAGAAGAGAAAGUGAAAGAUACUGAAGGAGCAAAACAAAUAGUACAGAGACAUCUAGUGGCAGAAACAGGAACUGCAGACAAAAUGCCAAGCACAAGUAGACCAGCAGCACCACCUAGCGGGAGAGGGGGAAAUUACCCCGUGCAACAAAUAGCUGGCAACUAUUCCCAUGUGCCGUUGAGCCCCCGAACCCUAAAUGCUUGGGUAAAGUUAGUGGAAGAAAAGAAGUUCGGGGCAGAAGUAGUGCCAGGGUUUCAGGCACUCUCAGAAGGCUGCACGCCCUAUGAUAUUAAUCAAAUGCUUAAUUGUGUGGGCGACCAUCAAGCAGCUAUGCAAAUAAUCAGAGAGAUUAUUAAUGAAGAAGCAGCAGAUUGGGAUGUGCAACACCCAAUACCAGGCCCCUUGCCAGCGGGGCAGCUUAGAGAACCAAGAGGGUCUGAUAUAGCAGGGACAACAAGCACAGUAGAAGAACAGAUCCAGUGGAUGUUUAGAGCACAAAAUCCUAUACCAGUAGGGAACAUCUAUAGGAGAUGGAUCCAGAUAGGACUGCAGAAGUGCGUCAGGAUGUACAAUCCAACCAACAUCCUAGACGUAAAACAGGGACCAAAGGAGCCGUUCCAAAGCUAUGUAGAUAGAUUCUACAAAAGCCUAAGGGCAGAACAAACAGACCCAGCAGUAAAAAAUUGGAUGACCCAAACACUGCUGGUACAGAAUGCCAACCCAGACUGUAAAUUAGUACUAAAAGGACUGGGGAUGAAUCCUACCUUAGAGGAGAUGCUGACCGCCUGUCAGGGAAUAGGAGGACCAGGCCAGAAAGCCAGAUUAAUGGCAGAAGCCUUAAAGGAGGCCCUAGCACCAGCCCCUAUCCCAUUUGCAGCAGCCCAACAGAGAAGGACAAUUAAGUGCUGGAAUUGUGGAAAGGAUGGGCACUCGGCAAGACAAUGCCGAGCACCUAGAAGACAGGGCUGCUGGAAAUGUGGCAAAUCAGGACAUGUCAUGGCAAACUGCCCAGAAAGACAGGCUGGUUUUUUAGGGAUUGGCCCAUGGGGAAAGAAGCCUCGCAACUUCCCCGUGACCCGAGUCCCGCAGGGGCUGACACCAACAGCACCCCCAGCAGACCCAGCAGCAGACCUGCUAGAGAAGUACUUGCAGCAAGGGAGGAAGCAGAAAGAGCAGAAAAUGAGACCAUACAAGGAGGUGACAGAGGACUUACUGCACCUCGAACAAGGAGAGACACCACACAAAGAGGCGACAGAGGAUUUGCUGCACCUCAAUUCUCUCUUUGGAAAAGACCAGUAGUCACAGCAUAUGUUGAGGGUCAGCCAGUAGAAGUCUUACUAGACACAGGGGCUGACGACUCAAUAGUAGCAGGAAUAGAGUUGGGGAGCAAUUAUAGUCCAAAAAUAGUAGGGGGAAUAGGGGGAUUCAUAAACACCAAGGAAUAUAAAAAUGUAGAAAUAAAAGUACUAAAUAAAAAGGUAAAAGCCACCAUAAUGACAGGUGAUACCCCAAUCAACAUUUUUGGCAGAAACAUUCUGACAGCCUUAGGCAUGUCAUUAAAUCUACCAGUCGCCAAGGUAGACCCGAUAAAAGUAAUACUGAAACCAGGAAAAGAUGGACCAAAAGUAAGACAAUGGCCUCUAACAAAAGAAAAGAUAGAGGCACUAAAAGAAAUCUGUGAAAAAAUGGAAAGAGAAGGCCAGCUAGAGGAAGCUCCCCCAACUAAUCCUUAUAAUACCCCCACAUUUGCAAUUAAGAAAAAGGACAAAAACAAAUGGAGAAUGCUAAUAGAUUUUAGAGAACUAAAUAAGGUAACUCAAGAGUUCACAGAAAUUCAGUUAGGAAUUCCACACCCAGCAGGAUUAGCCAAGAAAAGAAGAAUUACUGUACUAGAUAUAGGGGAUGCCUACUUUUCCAUACCACUACAUGAGGACUUUAGACAAUAUACUGCAUUUACUCUACCAACAGUGAACAAUGCAGAACCAGGAAAGAGAUAUAUAUAUAAAGUCCUACCACAGGGAUGGAAAGGAUCGCCAGCAAUUUUUCAACACACAAUGAGGCAGGUCUUAGAGCCAUUCAGAAAAGCAAACCCAGACGUCAUUCUCGUCCAAUAUAUGGAUGAUAUCUUAAUAGCUAGCGACAGGACAGACUUAGAGCAUGACAGAACGGUCCUGCAGUUAAAAGAACUUUUAAAUGGCCUAGGAUUCUCCACCCCAGAUGAGAAGUUCCAAAAAGACCCCCCAUACAAAUGGAUGGGCUAUGAACUAUGGCCAACCAAAUGGAAGCUGCAAAAAAUACAAUUGCCCCAAAAAGAAGUAUGGACAGUCAAUGACAUCCAAAAGCUAGUAGGUGUCCUAAAUUGGGCAGCACAAAUCUACCCAGGGAUAAAGACCAAACACUUAUGUAGGCUAAUUAGAGGAAAAAUGACACUCACGGAAGAAGUACAGUGGACAGAACUAGCAGAGGCAGAACUAGAAGAGAACAAAAUUAUCUUGAGCCAGGAACAGGAGGGAUGCUAUUACCAAGAAGAAAAGGAAUUAGAAGCAACAGUCCAAAAGGAUCAAGACAAUCAGUGGACAUAUAAAAUACACCAAGGAGAGAAAAUCCUAAAAGUAGGAAAAUAUGCAAAGAUAAAAAAUACCCAUACCAAUGGGGUCAGAUUGUUAGCACAUGUAGUUCAAAAAAUAGGAAAAGAAGCACUAGUCAUUUGGGGACGAAUACCAAAAUUUCACCUACCAGUAGAAAGAGAAACCUGGGAGCAGUGGUGGGAUAACUAUUGGCAAGUGACAUGGAUCCCAGACUGGGACUUCGUAUCUACUCCACCACUGGUCAGGUUAGCAUUUAACCUAGUAAAAGAUCCCAUACCAGGUGAAGAGACCUUCUACACAGAUGGAUCCUGUAAUAGGCAAUCAAAAGAGGGAAAAGCAGGAUAUAUAACAGAUAGAGGGAGAGACAAGGUAAGGAUAUUGGAGCAAACUACCAAUCAGCAAGCAGAAUUAGAAGCCUUCGCAAUGGCAUUAACAGACUCAGGUCCAAAAGCCAAUAUUAUAGUAGACUCACAGUAUGUAAUGGGAAUAGUAGCGGGCCAGCCAACAGAAUCAGAGAGUAAACUAGUAAACCAAAUCAUAGAAGAAAUGAUAAAAAAGGAAACACUCUAUGUUGCAUGGGUCCCAGCCCACAAAGGCAUAGGAGGAAAUCAGGAAGUAGAUCAUUUAGUAAGUCAGGGCAUUAGACAAGUAUUAUUCCUAGAAAAAAUAGAGCCCGCUCAGGAAGAACAUGAGAAAUAUCAUAGCAAUGUAAAAGAAUUAUCCCAUAAAUUUGGACUGCCCAAACUAGUGGCAAGACAAAUAGUAAACACAUGUGCCCAAUGUCAACAGAAAGGGGAAGCUAUACAUGGGCAAGUAGAUGCAGAACUGGGCACUUGGCAAAUGGACUGCACACACUUAGAGGGAAAAAUCAUUAUAGUAGCAGUACAUGUUGCAAGCGGGUUUAUAGAAGCAGAAGUUAUCCCACAGGAAACGGGAAGGCAAACAGCACUCUUCCUAUUAAAACUGGCCAGUAGGUGGCCAAUAACACACCUGCACACAGAUAAUGGUGCCAACUUCACCUCACAGGAAGUAAAGAUGGUAGCGUGGUGGACAGGUAUAGAACAAUCCUUUGGAGUACCUUACAAUCCACAAAGCCAAGGAGUAGUAGAAGCAAUGAAUCACCACUUAAAAAACCAGAUAAGCAGAAUUAGAGAGCAGGCAAAUACAAUGGAAACAAUAGUAUUAAUGGCAGUUCAUUGCAUGAAUUUUAAAAGAAGGGGAGGAAUAGGGGAUAUGACCCCAGCAGAAAGACUAAUCAAUAUGAUCACCACAGAACAAGAAAUACAAUUCCUCCACGCAAAAAAUUCAAAAUUAAAAAAUUUCCGGGUCUAUUUCAGAGAAGGCAGAGAUCAGCUGUGGAAAGGACCUGGGGAACUACUGUGGAAGGGAGAUGGAGCAGUCAUAGUCAAGGUAGGGACAGACAUAAAAAUAGUGCCAAGAAGGAAAGCUAAGAUCAUCAGAGACUAUGGAGGAAGGCGAGAGGUGGAUAGUAGUUCCCACUUGGAGGGUACCAGGGAGGAUGGAGAAGUGGCAUAGCCUUGUCAAGUAUCUAAAACACAGAACAAAAGAUCUGGAAGGGGUGUGCUAUGUUCCCCACCAUAAGGUGGGAUGGGCAUGGUGGACUUGCAGCAGGGUAAUAUUCCCAUUACAAGGAAAUAGUCACCUAGAGAUACAGGCAUAUUGGAACCUAACACCAGAAAAAGGAUGGCUCUCCUCUUAUGCAGUAAGAAUAACCUGGUAUACAGAGAGGUUCUGGACAGAUGUUACCCCAGACUGUGCAGACUCCCUAAUACAUAGCACUUAUUUCUCUUGUUUUACGGCGGGUGAAGUAAGAAGAGCCAUCAGAGGGGAAAAGUUACUGUCCUGCUGCAAUUACCCCCAAGCCCAUAGAUCUAAGGUACCGUUACUCCAAUUUCUGGCCUUAGUAGUAGUGCAACAAAAUGGCAGACCCCAGAAAAACAGUACCACCAGGAAACGGUGGCGAAGUAACUAUUGGAGAGGCUUUCGCUUGGCUAGAAAGGAUGGUAGAGGCCAUAAACAGAGAGGCAGUGAACCACCUGCCUCGGGAGCUUAUUUUCCAGGUGUGGCAAAGGUCCUGGAGAUACUGGCAUGAUGACCUAGGGAUGUCACAAAGUUACACAAAGUAUAGAUAUUUGCGCUUAAUGCAGUAUGCUAUGUUCAUACAUGUUAAGAAAGGGUGCACUUGCCUGGGGGGAGGACAUGGGCCGGGAGGGUGGAGACCAGGACCUCCCCCUCCUCCCCCAGGCCUAGUCUAAUGACUGAAGCACCAGCAGAGUUUCCCCCGGAGGAUGAAACCCCACCGAGGGGGCCAGGGGAUGAGUGGGUAAUAGGAAUCCUGAGAGAAUUAAGAGAAGAAGCUUUAAAGCAUUUUGACCCUCGCUUGCUAACUACUCUUGGCAACUAUAUCUGUGCUAGACAUGGAGACACCCUCGAAAGCGCCAGAGAGCUCAUUAAUGUCCUGCAACGAGCCCUCUUCGUGCACUUCAGAGCAGGAUGUAAAAUCUCAAGAAUUGGCCAAACAAGGGGAGAGACUCCUUUCUCAGCUAUACCAACCCCUAGAGGCAUGCAAUAACCCAUGUUAUUGUAAGAAAUGUUGUUACCAUUGCCAGCUAUGUUUUUUAAAAAAGGGACUCGGGAUAUGUUAUGAACGGAAGGGCAGACGAAGAAGGACUCCAAAGAAAGCAAAGGCUCAUUCGUCUUCUGCAUCAGACAAGUGAGUAUAAUGGAUAGUAGAAAUCAGCUAAUUGUUGCCAUUUUACUAACUAGUGCUUGCUUAAUAUAUUGCGCCCAAUAUGUGACUGUUUUCUAUGGCAUACCCGCGUGGAAGAAUGCAUCCAUUCCCCUCUUUUGUGCAACCAGAAAUAGAGAUACUUGGGGAACCAUACAGUGCUUGCCAGACAAUGAUGAUUAUCAGGAAAUACCUUUAAAUGUGACAGAGGCUUUUGACGCAUGGAACAAUACAGUAACAGAACAAGCAGUAGAAGAUGUCUGGAAUCUAUUUGAGACAUCAGUAAAACCAUGUGUCAAAUUAACACCCUUAUGUGUGCAAAUGGAAUGUAACAGCACAAGUACAGAGAGCAGUAACAGCACAAGUGAGGGGAGCACAGUCCCAGAGAUAUUAAACGAAACUACUUCAUGCAUAACCAACAACAGCUGCUCAGAUUUAGGGAGUGAAGAGGUAGUCGAUUGUCGGUUCAAUAUGACAGGACUACAACUAGAUAAGCCACAGCAAUAUAGUGAAACAUGGUACUCAAAGGAUGUAGUUUGUGACACAACUAAUGGGACCAGCCGCAAAUGUUACAUGAACCAUUGCAACACAUCAGUCAUCACAGAGUCAUGUGAUAAGCACUAUUGGGAUGCUAUGAGGUUUAGAUACUGUGCACCACCGGGUUUAUGCUUGCUAAGAUGCAAUGAUACCAAUUAUUCAGGCUUUGAGCCCAAGUGUCCUAAAGUAGUAGCUGCUACAUGCACAAGAAUGAUGGAAACGCAAACUUCUACUUGGUUUGGCUUUAAUGGCACUAGGGCAGAAAAUAGAACAUAUAUCUAUUGGCAUGGUAGAGAUAAUAGGACUAUUAUCAGCUUAAAUACACAUUAUAAUCUCACAAUGCAUUGUAAGAGGCCAGGAAAUAAGUCAGUUUUGCCAAUAACACUUAGGUCAGGGAGAGUGUUUCACUCCCGACCGAUCAUCAAUGAAAGACCCAAGCAGGCAUGGUGCUGGUUCGGAGGUGAUUGGAAGAAAGCCAUGCAGGAGGUGAAACAAACCCUUGUGAAACAUCCCAGGUAUAGAGGAACCAACGACACACAGAAAAUUAACUUUACACAACCAGGAAAAGGUUCAGAUGCAGAAGUGGUAUACAUGUGGACUAACUGCAGAGGAGAAUUUCUAUACUGCAACAUGACUCGGUUCCUCAAUUGGAUAGAAAACAGGGCACACCCACAGCGCAAUUAUGCACCGUGCCAUAUAAGGCAAAUAAUUAAUACCUGGCAUAGAGUAGGCCAAAAUAUAUAUUUGCCUCCUAGGGAAGGGGAAUUGGUCUGCAACUCAACAGUAACCAGCAUAAUUGCUAACAUUGACAUGUUUGAUAACCAGACAAGCAUUACCUUUAGUGCAGAGGUGGCAGAACUAUACCGAUUGGAAUUGGGAGAUUACAAAUUAGUAGAAAUAACACCAAUUGGCUUCGCACCUACAUCAGAAAAAAGGUAUUCCUCUGCUCCACAGAGGAAUAAAAGAGGUGUGUUUGUGCUAGGAGUCUUGGGUUUUCUCGCAACAGCAGGUUCUGCAAUGGGCGCGGCGUCCUUGACGCUGUCGGCUCAUCCCGGACUUUACUGGGCUGGGAUAGUGCAGCAACAGCAACAGCUGUUGGACGUGGUCAAGAGACAACAAGAAAUGUUGCGACUGACCGUCUGGGGAACAAAAAAUCUCCAGACAAGAGUCACUGCUAUCGAGAAAUACCUAAGGGACCAGGCGCGGCUAAAUUCAUGGGGAUGUGCAUUUAGACAAGUCUGCUACACCACUGUACUAUGGGAAAAUAACAGCAUAGUACCUGAUUGGAACAACAUGACGUGGCAGGAAUGGGAACAACAAACCCGCGACCUAGAGGCAAAUAUCAGUAGAUCGUUAGAGCAGGCACAAAUCCAACAAGAGAAAAAUAUGUAUGAGCUACAAAAAUUAAAUAGCUGGGAUGUUUUUGGCAACUGGUUUGAUUUAACCUCCUGGAUUAAGUAUAUUCAGUAUGGAGUUUAUGUAAUAAUAGGAAUAAUAGCUUUAAGAAUAGUAAUAUAUGUAGUACAAUUACUAAGUAGACUUAGAAAGGGCUAUAGGCCUGUUUUCUCUUCCCCCCCCGGUUAUAUCCAACAGAUCCAUAUCCACAAGGACUGGGAACAGCCAGACAGAGAAGAAACAGACGAAGACGCCGGAAACAGCAUUGGAGACAGCUCGUGGCCUUGGCCAAUAGCAUAUAUACAUUUCCUGAUCCGCCAGCUGAUUCGCCUCUUGACCGGGCUAUACAGCGUCUGCAAGGACUUACUAUCCAGGAGCUUCCCGACCCUCCAACUAAUCUUCCAGAGUCUUCAGAGAGCACUAACAACAAUCAGGGACUGGCUGAGACUUACAAUAGCCUACCUGCAAUAUGGGUGCGAGUGGAUCCAAGAAGUGCUCCAGGUCCUUGCAAGGACUACGAGAGAGACUCUUGCGAGCGCGUGGAGAGACUUGUGGGGGGCAAUGGGACGGAUCGGCAGGGGAAUACUUGCAGUUCCAAGAAGGAUCAGGCAGGGGGCAGAACUUGCCCUCCUGUGAGGGGCAGCGGUAUCAACAGGGAGACUUUAUGAACACCCCAUGGAGAACUCCAGCAGCAGGAAGGGAGGGAACAUUGUACAAGCAACAAAAUAUGGAUGAUGUAGAUGCAGAUAAUGAUAACCUAAUAGGGGUCCCUGUCACACCAAGAGUACCAUUAAGGGCAAUGACAUAUAAGUUGGCAGUAGAUAUAUCACAUUUUCUAAAUGAAAAGGGGGGACUGGAUGGGAUGUAUUACAGUGAGAGAAGACAUAGAAUCUUAGACAUAUACAUGGAAAAGGAAGAAGGGAUAAUUCCAGAUUGGCAGAACUAUACUCAUGGGCCAGGAGUAAGGUACCCAAAGUUCUUUGGGUGGCUAUGGAAGCUAGUACCAGUAGACGUCCCACAAGGUGAAGAGGACCACUGCUUACUACACCCAGCACAAACAAGCGGGUCUGAUGACCCUCAUGGGGAAACAUUAAUGUGGAGGUUUGACCCUAGGCUGGCCUAUGAGUAUACGGCUUUUAAUCGAUACCCAGAAGAAUUUGGGUAUAAGUCAGGCCUGCCAGAAGAAGAGUGGAAGGCAAAACUGAAAGCAAGAGGGAUACCAUUUAGUUAAAGACAGGAACAGCUAUAUUUGGUCAGAACAGGAAGUAGAUGAUGAAACUGCAGGGACUUUCCAGAAGGGGCUGUAACCAGGGGAGGGACGUGGGAGGAACCGGUGGGGAACGCCCUCAUACUUCUGUAUAAAUGUACCCGCUGCUUGCAUUGUAUUCAGUCGCUCUGCGGAGAGGCUGGCAGAUCGAGCCCUGGGAGGUUCUCUCCAGCACUAGCAGGUAGAGCCUGGGUGUUCCCUGCUAGACUCUCACCAGUACUUGGCCGGUACUGGGCAGACGGCUCCACGCUUGCUUGCUUAAAGACCUCUUAAUAAAGCUGCCAGU